UACAUGGGGUGCAACCGUUGCUCGGAAUUACUGGGCGUAAAGCGCACGUAGGCGGCUUUCUAAGUCGGGGGUGAAAUCCUGGAGCUCAACUCCAGAACUGCCUUCGAUACUGGAAAGCUCGAGUCCGGGAGAGGUGAGUGGAACUGCGAGUGUAGAGGUGAAAUUCGUAGAUAUUCGCAAGAACACCAGUGGCGAAGGCGGCUCACUGGCCCGGUACUGACGCUGAGGUGCGAAAGCGUGGGGAGCAAACAGG
This 253-nucleotide ribosomal RNA is filed under the name uncultured bacterium. RNAcentral's name for it is "partial 16S ribosomal RNA". It matches the Rfam family "Bacterial small subunit ribosomal RNA", at positions 524 to 776 of the family's 1533-position model. The record is from RNAcentral.